ACGCUCGACACCAACGGGAGGCGGCAGUGGGGAAUAUUGCACAAUGGGGGAAACCCUGAUGCAGCGACGCCGCGUGGAGGAAGAAGGUCUUCGGAUUGUAAACUCCUGUUGUUGGGGAAAAAGAGGAUGGUACCCAACAAGGAAGUGACGGCUAACUACGUGCCAGCAGCCGCGGUAAUCUGAGCGGGCUGGCAAGGC
RNAcentral lists this ribosomal RNA (198 nucleotides) under uncultured bacterium. Its description in RNAcentral is "partial 16S ribosomal RNA". It matches the Rfam family "Bacterial small subunit ribosomal RNA", at positions 328 to 539 of the family's 1533-position model. The record is from RNAcentral.